GACGUAGGGGGCGAGCGUGGUCCGGAUUUAUUGGGCGUAAAGGGCGCGUAGGCGGCCUUCUAAGUCAGACGUGAAAUCCCCCGGCUUAACCUGGGAACUGCGUCUGAUACUGGGAGGCUUGAGUAUGGGAGAGGGAUGUAGAAUUCCAGGUGUAGCGGUGAAAUGCGUAGAUAUCUGGAGGAAUACCGGUGGCGAAGGCGGCAUCCUGGACCAUUACUGACGCUGAGGCGCGAAAGCUAGGGGAGCAAACGGG
This 253-nucleotide ribosomal RNA is filed under the name uncultured bacterium. Its description in RNAcentral is "partial 16S ribosomal RNA". It matches the Rfam family "Bacterial small subunit ribosomal RNA", at positions 524 to 776 of the family's 1533-position model. The record is from RNAcentral.